CGGGAGGCUUAACACAUGCAAGUCGAGGGGUGAGGUCUCUUCGGAGAAUACACGACCGGCGCACGGGUGAGUAACGCGUAUGCAACCUACCUAUAACACAAGGAUAGCUCCCGGAAACGGGAAUUAAUACUUGAUGACAUUCAAAGAUGGCAUCAUCAAUGAAUCAAAGUUCCGGCGGUUAUAGAUGGGCAUGCGUGACAUUAGCUAGUUGGUGAGGUAGAGGCUCACCAAGGCGACGAUGUCUAGGGGGUCUGAGAGGAUGAUCCCCCACACUGGUACUGAGACACGGACCAGACUCCUACGGGAGGCAGCAGUGAGGAAUAUUGCGCAAUGGAGGAAACUCUGACGCAGCCAUCCCGCGUGCAGGAUUGACGGCCCUAUGGGUUGUAAACUGCUUUUCUAUACCAAGAAACACCGAUACGUGUAUCGGUUUGCCGGUAGUAUAGGAAUAAGCAUCGGCUAACUCCGUGCCAGCAGCCGCGGUAAUACGGAGGAUGCAAGCGUUAUCCGGAAUCACUGGGUUUAAAGGGUGCGCAGGCGGAAUAGUAAGUCAGAGGUGAAAGCCCACAGCUCAACUGUGGAAUUGCCUUUGAUACUGUUAUUCUUGAGUGUAGUUGAAGUAGGCGGAAUAUAGCAUGUAGCGGUGAAAUGCAUAGAUAUGCUAUAGAACACCAAUUGCGAAGGCAGCUUGCUAAACUAUAACUGACGCUGAGGCACGAAAGCGUGGGGAGCGAACAGGAUUAGAUACCCUGGUAGUCCACGCCGUAAACUAUGAACACUCGCUGUUGGCAAUACACAGUCAGCGGCUGAGCGAAAGCGUUAAGUGUUCCACCUGGGAAGUACGAUCGCAAGGUUGAAACUCAAAGGAAUUGACGGGGGCCCGCACAAGCGGAGGAGCAUGUGGUUUAAUUCGAUGAUACGCGAGGAACCUUACCUGGGCUUAAAUGUAUAUUGACGUACUGAGAAAUCAGUAUUUCUUCGGACAAUUUACAAGGUGCUGCAUGGUUGUCGUCAGCUCGUGCCGUGAGGUGUCGGGUUAAGUCCCAUAACGAGCGCAACCCCUACUUCUAGUUACCAGCAUUUCGGAUGGGGACUCUAGAGGAACUGCUACGCAAGUAGAGAGGAAGGUGGGGAGACGUCAAUCAGCCGGCCCUUAUGUCCAGGGCUACACACG
RNAcentral lists this ribosomal RNA (1174 nucleotides) under uncultured organism. RNAcentral describes it as "bacterial SSU rRNA". It matches the Rfam family "Bacterial small subunit ribosomal RNA", at positions 40 to 1222 of the family's 1533-position model. The record is from RNAcentral.